Molecule: ribosomal RNA, 376 nt
Filed under: uncultured Legionella sp.
Lineage: Bacteria; Pseudomonadati; Pseudomonadota; Gammaproteobacteria; Legionellales; Legionellaceae
Description: bacterial SSU rRNA
Rfam family: Bacterial small subunit ribosomal RNA
Source: RNAcentral
GUAGCUGGUCUGAGAGGAUGAACAGCCACACUGGGACUGAGACACGGCCCAGACUCCUACGGGAGGCAGCAGUGGGGAAUAUUGGACAAUGGGGGCAACCCUGAUCCAGCAAUGCCGCGUGUGUGAAGAAGGCCUGAGGGUUGUAAAGCACUUUCAGUGGGGAGGAGGAUUACUAGGUUAAGAGCUGAGUAAUUGGACGUUACCCACAGAAGAAGCACCGGCUAACUCCGUGCCAGCAGCCGCGGUAAUACGGAGGGUGCGAGCGUUAAUCGGAAUGACUGGGCGUAAAGGGUUCGUAGGUGGUUUAUUAAGUUGUUGGUGAAAUCUCCGGGCUUAACCUGGGGUUGACGAAUGAAACUGAUAGACUCGAGUAURG